ACGUGCCAGCAGCCGCGGUAAUACGUAGGGUGCGAGCGUUAAUCGGAAUUACUGGGCGUAAAGCGUGCGCAGGCGGUUCGUUAAGACAGAUGUGAAAUCCCCGGGCUUAACCUGGGAACUGCAUUUGUGACUGGCGAGCUAGAGUAUGGCAGAGGGGGGUAGAAUUCCACGUGUAGCAGUGAAAUGCGUAGAGAUGUGGAGGAAUACCGAUGGCGAAGGCAGCCCCCUGGGAUAACACUGACGCUCAUGCACGAAAGCGUGGGGAGCAAACAGGAUUAGAUACCCUGGUAGUCCACGCCCUAAACGAUGUCUACUAGUUGUCGGGUCUUAAUUGACUUGGUAACGCAGCUAACGCGUGAAGUAGACCGCCUGGGGAGUACGGUCGCAAGAUUAAAACUCAAAGGAAUUGACGGGGACCCGCACAAGCGGUGGAUGAUGUGGAUUAAUUCGAUGCAACGCGAAAAACCUUACCUACCCUUGACAUGGCUGGAAUCCUUGAGAGAUCAGGGAGUGCUUGAAAGAGAACCAGUACACAGGUGCUGCAUGGCUGUCGUCAGCUCGUG
RNAcentral lists this ribosomal RNA (563 nucleotides) under uncultured Glaciimonas sp. RNAcentral's name for it is "bacterial SSU rRNA". It matches the Rfam family "Bacterial small subunit ribosomal RNA", at positions 503 to 1064 of the family's 1533-position model. Lineage: Bacteria; Pseudomonadati; Pseudomonadota; Betaproteobacteria; Burkholderiales; Oxalobacteraceae. The record is from RNAcentral.